UGGGGAAUAUUGCACAAUGGGGGAAACCCUGAUGCAGCGACGCCGCGUGAGCGAAGAAGUAUCUCGGUAUGUAAAGCUCUAUCAGCAGGGAAGAAAAUGACGGUACCUGACUAAGAAGCACCGGCUAAAUACGUGCCAGCAGCCGCGGUAAUACGUAUGGUGCAAGCGUUAUCCGGAUUUACUGGGUGUAAAGGGAGCGUAGACGGAGAAGCAAGUCUGGAGUGAAAACCCGGGGCUCAACCCCGGGACUGCUUUGGAAACUGUUUUUCUAGAGUGCCGGAGAGGUAAGCGGAAUUCCUAGUGUAGCGGUGAAAUGCGUAGAUAUUAGGAGGAACACCAGUGGCGAAGGCGGCUUACUGAACGGUAACUGACGUUGAGGCUCGAAAGCGUGGGGAGCAAACA
Molecule: ribosomal RNA, 402 nt
Filed under: uncultured bacterium
Lineage: Bacteria
Description: bacterial SSU rRNA
Rfam family: Bacterial small subunit ribosomal RNA
Source: RNAcentral